Procambarus clarkii (red swamp crayfish) is the source of this 5992-nucleotide non-coding RNA. The record is from RefSeq and is a predicted model, not a curated record. NCBI's taxonomy places the organism in Eukaryota, Metazoa, Arthropoda, Malacostraca, Decapoda, Cambaridae.
CUGUCCACAUGUUUGGGUUACAGAUCUAAACUAAUCACAGUUUUUAUACUGGUGUUUCCCGGCCAUUGAGUGUCUGGUAUUCCUUUAUCAGAGAUGAAUGGUUGGAGAAAUAUAGUCUUAACAGAGAUGGGGAUACCUAGGUCAAGUUGCUGGUAGCUACUUAUAGUGCACCUAGUUCUUUUAGUGUACUGGUAGCUAGUGUUAUGAUUGCAGUCUGAUAACAAUCCUUUCCGGCUUGAAGAGUCAUUUUUUCCCACCUAGAAAGAUUGUAGACGGCCCAAGCUGUAAUUGUAGUUAAAAAGGAAUUUUAUACACAAUGUUUCGUGAUAUUUGGCUGUAAAAGGGUAAAUUGUGGCAGUUUGCAAAACAAAAUGGCGCUCGGGCGGGCGGUGACACAUCCAGGGUUUGGUGAAGUGCAGUGACACUCUAUCAGCGGGCACCAAGCCUGCCCCAGGGAGCAGAACCCGGCUCACUGUUCGGCUAGACUUCACACAUGGAGGUUGUGACCUUGGCACUUGAGGACCAGUAGAUUGGGAUCUAAAGUGACAGAUUUGGAUCUUAAGUACGAGUUGAGCCUAGGAGAUGGGAGUCAGGCGUUUUCAGGACUCAGACCAUUAAGGCGCCAAAGGGACCUUUCUGGAUAAGGCCAUAAGAGUAUCGUCGACGAAGGGCCUUGCUGAGAGUGGAGACUCGAUAGCAAACCAGAUUCAGUGGAGGGAGCUGCAAUUACCUUCAUUUGAAUCUUGGUGGGUGAACACGAAUGGCCUGACCGUCGAAGCCUAGUGACAGUCCCUACUAGUGAGCGUGGGACGUGAUAACAAUUCGGUGUGUGAAUCCAUGAGAAGUAGCCGUGGAAGAGGCUAAUGAUGGCAUGACCGAGGUCACGGUAAGCAAGUGCUCCUUCUAAUUUUGCCUGUGAUGACGCAAAUGAAGUGUUGACUGUGAUUCUGGAAAGGGAGUGAUUUAUUUAACUGUGCCAACUAAGAGGCCGUGAAUAAUCGUACAUCGAUUUAAAAAAAGCAUUAUAGUAACCAGUGAGGUGAGCAAGUGUGGCAGAAAUUAAUAUCUCUGGUUACCCUAUAGAGACAGUGAAUCUAGGAAAAGACUGUGACGGCGCCAGCCUGUAUCGAAACUGACCCAGCCAGUGAAGUCGACCUUUGUAAUAUCUUCCAUGGCAGUGAAUCAGCGCACUGAGCUCUGGCAUAAGGAUGCCGGGACAAGGUACACCCCGCGGAGCGACAAGGGUCAGGGGAGAUACAGUGUCGACACCGACGUCGGACGCCCCGCUAGGAGUGUCCCCCAGUGUGUCGAGAGGAUCGGCGCCAGGAUGUGGUGAUGGCACUUCAGAGACCUGGCGACACACGGCAUCUAUAAACCACAGAAGAUAUCAUCAUUUCCUAACUGCGGGGUUUGGCGGGUGCAUGGAAUGGACUUUGGCCCUUGUUUAUGAGGUCGGGCUGCUCGUAGUACAGUUAUCUACGUUCUCGGCUCACAUUCGGGAACCCUGGGUUCGAUUCCCGCACGGGACACAAAUGGUCACCUGGAUGAUGCAAAGUGCGCUCUUGUUACAUCGUGUGACGCUCCUGCUUGUGGCUCUUGUUACUCAGGGCGGGUGUUGGCAGCCCGCGGCCACCAGUCUGGUGGUGAGGUGUGAGGUGCACCAACGCUACGCCUCCACCACCGUCCUCACCAUCCUCACCAACACUCGGCCCCGCCCUCAACACCUCCUCCUCAACGCUAUCCUCCCCAAGGACGCUUAUGUCUCAUCCUUAACAAUAGAGACGGGAGGCAGGAAUUACACGACGGAGGUGAAGGAACGUGGACGGGGAGGACGGAGAGGCCCUCUCAACCCCCGCCCCCACAGAGUCCAUAUUGUGAAUGUGACGGAGGUGGAGGUCCACAGAGAGAGCAACACGGAGGAGACCCAACGCUUCAGGGCUGGCACCAGGGUCGAGGCUCACCACACUGCCACCUUCUACCUCACCUACGAGCAGCUCCUCGUCCGCCUCCACGGUCACUACGCCCUCACCAUCUACCUCCCUCCUCACACUGAGGGGGCGGAGCACGAGGUGCAGGUGGUGCUCCGGGAGACACAGCCCAUCACACACUUCCACCUGCAGCACCUCCCUCAGCCUCACCAACACCACCAACCUUACGUACAAGAGGAGUUGGUAAGUCCGCACGAGGUGCGGGUGAGCUACCUCCGGAGUAACGGCCAGCGUAACACCACCGGCCUCAGUAGUAACGUCACCAUCAGUACUGACAGCAGUAGCAGCAACAGUAGCAGCGCCAGUGACGGCCCACACAGCCAGGGAGACGUCCUGGCCAUCACCUAUGAUGUGGAGAGGACGCCCGACGGAGGAGAGUUCCAGGUGCUGGGAAGACACUUCGUGCACCACUUCUGCCCCGAGGGGCUGCCCAAGCUGCCCACCCAUACAGUGUUCGUCCUCGACGUGUCCGGAUCCAUGCAAGACUUCGACAAGCUGACGCAGCUCAAGGUGGCCAUGGAGGCCAUCCUCAGAGGACUACCGCCGGAGGACUCUUUCGAGGUGCUAGUGUUCUCUACGCGGGUGACGUCCCUGGGCGUGUACCGGGCGGCCAGGCCCCGGGAGGUGGAGCGCGGCGUGGCCAAGAUACACCGCCUCCAGGCCCUCGGCGGCACUAACUUCAACGACGCCCUCCUGCAGGCGGUGACGGGGGCCAACCUCCACAACGCCUCCCACGAUACAGUAAAACAGGUGGUGUUCUUGACGGACGGGAAGCCUAACCUCGGAGAGACGCGCUCAGACCAGCUACGGAGGAACGUGCGGGAGGCCAACCUCCACCAGCUGCCCAUCUUCUCCCUCGCCCUGGGCCAGGAUGCUGACCUCAGGCUGCUGCGUCAGGUGAGUGCAGACAACCAAGGCUUCACCCGUAUGAUCGACGAGAAGGAGCGUCCCGCCCAGCAGCUGCAGGACUUCUACAAGCAGAUCUCCACGCCUCUCAUGACCGACGUGGACAUUGUCUACCCGGAGGACGAGGUUGACCCGAACUCCGUCGUCAGGCACGGCCACAGCACCUACUACUCCGGUGACGAGGUGGUGGUGGCAGGCCAGCUGGCGGAGGAGGCGACGGAGGUGCACCCCAUCGUGGCCGGACACAGCAAGACGGGCCCCGUACAGUUCCGGGUGUCCAGGAUCUCCACCCCUGAGCCACCUUCCAUGAGGAACAACUAUGUGGAGCGACUCUGGGCCUACCUCGCAGUGCAGGAUCUUCUGGCAGUACAAGAUUUCAUCGAUGACAGAAACCUGCGCGAGGAGAUGCGAGCCAGGGCCAAGGAGAUCGCUAUCAGGUUUAAGUUCGUGACGAAGCUGACCACCCUGGAAGUGGUGGACGCAGAGGAGGCCCAGGACGGGGCCCACCCCGGCCUCAAGUCUGCCGCCUCCCGCCACCAGAAGUCCAACACCGGGGGCGCCAUCGCCUCCCACAUACACGAGGAACUCUCUCUUCUCCCCGAAUCAGAGUUCUUUAAGACGCUCCCAGAGCCCCUCAGCUCAAGGCUCCGCACCUCAGCCUCCAGCCAGGAGUUCUCCUUCAGCGACAACGACCCGCACUUCGUGGUGCAGGUGCCAGGCCUCGACCUGCCCCUCUGCUUCGACCUGCACGGCUCCCCGGGGAACGUCCUCAACCUGGUCCUGGACCCAGAGUCAGGAAUCCUGGUGAACGGGUUGGUGACGGCGGCGGUUGGGCGGGCGGGGGCCACGUACUUCACCAAGAUCUUCAUCUCCCUGGGCACCGUCAACUUCACCGUCACGCCCACCCACAUCACCGUAGACUGUCUUGACGACGCUGGAGACCCCACGGUGGACCGGGUCUCCACGACGCUCUGGCCCUUCAAGAAGAGGAACCAUCGGGGUGGGAGCGGUCGGCGUGUUAAGAAACCUCGUGGGAGGAGAAAGUCUGCGAGGCGGCGGGCGGGGGGGAGAAGGAAGCGGUCAGAGCGCCCUCAGCACCGCAGACACGCCCGCUCCUCCAGCCCCAGCACGACGAGGGCACUCAAGCCUCAACAGAGACACGACAAGAGACACUGUCAUGGCAACAUAACAAGAGCAAGAUAUCGGCGACAUGUCGGUAAUGUAGUUCAUCCUCAAUCCUUCACUCGCCUUCCACAGAGCUGGAGUGCACCCGACCUUGCCCGCCCACACACUGCCAGCACCCGCCUCCACCCACAUCACUCUCUCAAGCACGACCACACGCAGGCAUACACAGUCCACUCUCAGAGUCCUCUAAGUGUCGCAAGCCACAUCCAUCAGCUCGCUCUGAAGACACUCACAGGCACGCAGGAAGAUGCGAACCCAAGUCCAGCGGCUGGCGUAGCGCUUCUGACGCGGCCGACCAGAGACUCCACCCACGCCUCCCACCUCGACCACCACCAUCCACAGGCUGCCACCCUCAUCCACCCACAAUCCAGAAUCAAGCUUCUCCCUUACUUUCUAGAUCGCGCUGCUCAGAACUCUGGGGAGAACACACAGCCACGACCAGGUGACAGUAGCCACGACACAAGGAUGUUAUAUCCGGUGUCUGAAGAUCGUAAUGCUGCAACAUUGAGCACCCAGACCACGGAGGUUCCCAGGUCACAGGAGAGAGACUCGGUGAAUGACGGCGCACCAGCCCACCAGAAGGAAGAAGACCUGACAGGGGAGUGUAGUAAGACCUUCAGCUGGAAGAAGGCAGCUGGGAGAAGGUACGGAGAUGUGGUGAUGGCGCUGAGGAACCACAGGAAGCUGGACCUGCUCCUGGGAGACGUGGACGCCAACCUGCUGGUGACCCGCACCAGGAACAAGCUGGGACAGGUCUUCCUGGGCUUCUACCUGGAGAACCACCGCGUCCUCUCGCCCAACACCACCGGAAUCAUUGAGCAACAUCAAAGGCAAGCCAAACUCUCAAGAGACAAGAGACAAGCCAAACUCUCAAGAGACAAGAGACAAGCCAAACUCUCAAGAGACAAGAGACAAGCCAAACUCUCUAGAAACCUCAUCAUUAAGCCUUGCCCAAUAUAUCCAUCUCUUGAAUGGUUACAAAGACAUCUGCACCUCUCUCAUCAUAGUACAGGAUGCCUGGCUCCAGAGUACACCUCGCUCCACUCGCUAACUGCUUAUAUUUAUGCAUGGAUGAUGGCUAGAGGCACAGAUGAGCCACCAUGGAUGGAGGCUAGAGACACAGAUGAGCCGCCAUAGAUGAUGGCUAGAGGCACAGAUGAGCUGCCAUGGAUAGAGGCUAGAGACACAGAUGAGCCGGCAUGGAUGGGGGCUAGAGGCACAGAUGAGCCGGCAUGGAUGGGGGCUAGAGGCACAGAUGAGCCGGCAUGGAUGGGGGCUAGAGGCACAGAUGAGCCGGCAUGGAUGGGGGCUAGAGACACAGAUGAGCCGGCAUGAAUCGAGGUUAGAGACACAGAUGAGCUGGCAUGGAUGGAGGCUAGAGGCACAGAUGAGCCGGCAUGGAUGGAGGCUAGAGGCACAGAUAAGCCGCCAUGGAUGGAGGCUAGAGAUACAGAUAAGCCGCCAUGGAUGGAGGCUAGAGGCACAGACGAUGUGAAGAAACACGGUUUCACCGCGAGAACAUUAAAAGCGCGCCAGAAGAGGCAGAAGUCUCGGAUAGUGCCAUACAACACAUUCCAAGAGUAGAUCCAAGACACAGACGUGUAGAAUGCUUGCAUGAAAAGAAUGUCAUCUGAAAUGCCGGGCCCAAGAACUAAAGGUAGACUGUGUGAGGAGAACUUGGUCAGUUCGCGUACAAGACGGUGGGCACCGUGGAGUCCGACCCCAACACCCUGAACCACGCAGUUAAAGACAAAGUGCGGCUGGCGGUGGUGCAGCCGGGCCCACGACACCGGUACCAAGUGUCCGAGGUGAACGCCUUCCUCUCCAGCAGACGCUCCCUCCUCCACAAGACACAUGUCACCUGCCUCUACAUCCGUCAGCAGGGCCGAGGACUGGUGGCAGGCGCCCCCGCU